GCGGCAUGCUUUACACAUGCAAGUCGAACGGCAGCGCGGGGCAACCUGGCGGCGAGUGGCGAACGGGUGAGUAAUAUAUCGGAACGUACCCAAGAGUGGGGGAUAACGUAGCGAAAGUUACGCUAAUACCGCAUACGAUCUAUGGAUGAAAGUGGGGGAUCGCAAGACCUCAUGCUCCUGGAGCGGCCGAUAUCUGAUUAGCUAGUUGGUGAGGUAAAGGCUCACCAAGGCGACGAUCAGUAGCUGGUCUGAGAGGACGACCAGCCACACUGGAACUGAGACACGGUCCAGACUCCUACGGGAGGCAGCAGUGGGGAAUUUUGGACAAUGGGCGCAAGCCUGAUCCAGCAAUGCCGCGUGAGUGAAGAAGGCCUUCGGGUUGUAAAGCUCUUUUGUCAGGGAAGAAACGGUGGGAGCUAAUAUCUCUUGCUAAUGACGGUACCUGAAGAAUAAGCACCGGCUAACUACGUGCCAGCAGCCGCGGUAAUACGUAGGGUGCAAGCGUUAAUCGGAAUUACUGGGCGUAAAGCGUGCGCAGGCGGUUUUGUAAGUCUGUCGUGAAAGCCCCGGGCUCAACCUGGGAAUUGCGAUGGAGACUGCAAGGCUUGAAUCUGGCAGAGGGGGGUAGAAUUCCACGUGUAGCAGUGAAAUGCGUAGAGAUGUGGAGGAACACCGAUGGCGAAGGCAGCCCCCUGGGUCAAGAUUGACGCUCAUGCACGAAAGCGUGGGGAGCAAACAGGAUUAGAUACCCUGGUAGUCCACGCCCUAAACGAUGUCUACUAGUUGUCGGGGUUUUAAUUAACUUGGUAACGCAGCUAACGCGUGAAGUAGACCGCCUGGGGAGUACGGUCGCAAGAUUAAAACUC
This 866-nucleotide ribosomal RNA is filed under the name Massilia brevitalea. RNAcentral describes it as "bacterial SSU rRNA". It matches the Rfam family "Bacterial small subunit ribosomal RNA", at positions 39 to 902 of the family's 1533-position model. Lineage: Bacteria; Pseudomonadati; Pseudomonadota; Betaproteobacteria; Burkholderiales; Oxalobacteraceae. The record is from RNAcentral.